UACGAAGGGGGCGAGCGUUGUUCGGAAUUACUGGGCGUAAAGGGCGCGCAGGCGGCUCUUCAAGUCAGGCGUGAAAGCCCCGGGCUUAACCUGGGAAUUGCGCUUGGGACUGGAGGGCUUGAGUACGGGAGAGGAGAGUGGAAUUCCCAGUGUAGAGGUGAAAUUCGUAGAUAUUGGGAAGAACACCGGUGGCGAAGGCGGCUCUCUGGACCGUAACUGACGCUGAGGCGCGAAAGCGUGGGGAGCAAACAGG
Molecule: ribosomal RNA, 253 nt
Filed under: uncultured bacterium
Lineage: Bacteria
Also listed under: 1 other name
Description: partial 16S ribosomal RNA
Rfam family: Bacterial small subunit ribosomal RNA
Source: RNAcentral